ACCUAUAUAUUCUAAGAAUAAGAGGCUGAAUUCUUACUUCAGUAAUGUGAAUUUCACUAUGGGUU
This 65-nucleotide transfer RNA is filed under the name Taenia crocutae. RNAcentral describes it as "tRNA-Lys". The record is from RNAcentral. Lineage: Eukaryota; Metazoa; Platyhelminthes; Cestoda; Cyclophyllidea; Taeniidae.